RNAcentral lists this ribosomal RNA (497 nucleotides) under uncultured bacterium. Its description in RNAcentral is "partial 16S ribosomal RNA". It matches the Rfam family "Bacterial small subunit ribosomal RNA", at positions 28 to 507 of the family's 1533-position model. The record is from RNAcentral.
GACGAACGCUGGCGGCGUGCCUAAUACAUGCAAGUUGAGCGAUGAAGAUUGGUGCUUGCACCAAUUUGAAGAGCAGCGAACGGGUGAGUAACGCGUGGGGAAUCUGCCUUUGAGCGGGGGACAACAUUUGGAAACGAAUGCUAAUACCGCAUAACAACUUUAAACAUAAGUUUUAAGUUUGAAAGAUGCAAUUGCAUCACUCAAAGAUGAUCCCGCGUUGUAUUAGCUAGUUGGUGAGGUAAAGGCUCACCAAGGCGAUGAUACAUAGCCGACCUGAGAGGGUGAUCGGCCACAUUGGGACUGAGACACGGCCCAAACUCCUACGGGAGGCAGCAGUAGGGAAUCUUCGGCAAUGGACGAAAGUCGGACCGAGCAACGCCGCGUGAGUGAAGAAGGUUUUCGGAUCGUAAAACUCUGUUGGUAGAGAAGAACGUUGGUGAGAGUGGAAAGCUCAUCAAGUGACGGUAACUACCCAGAAAGGGACGGCUAACUACGUG